GAUGAAGAACGUAGCGAAAUGCGAUACUUGGUGUGAAUUGCAGAAUCCCGUGAACCAUCGAGUCUUUGAACGCAAGUUGCGCCUCAAGCCAUGAGGUUGAGGGCACGUCUGCCUGGGCGUCACAUAUCGUUGCCUGAUGCCAGUUUCCUCGUGAUGGGUGACUGUGCAGGGCGAAUGAUGGCUUCCCGUGAGCAUUGUUGCCUCAUGGUUGGUUGAAAAUUGAGUCCUUGGUAGGGAGCGCCGUGAUAGAUGGUGGUUGAGUGACGAACGAGACCCAAUCAUGUGAGACCCCUACCGAAUUUGGCCUUCAUGACCCACAUGCGUCUUUGGAACGCUCAUGACGAGACCUCAGGUCAGGCGGGGCUACCCGCUGAGUUUAAGCAUAUCAAUAAGCGGAGGA
Molecule: unclassified non-coding RNA, 400 nt
Filed under: soil metagenome
Description: partial contains 5.8S ribosomal RNA, internal transcribed spacer 2, and large subunit ribosomal RNA
Rfam family: 5.8S ribosomal RNA (bases 1-122)
Source: RNAcentral